Molecule: long non-coding RNA, 583 nt
Organism: Spinacia oleracea (spinach)
Lineage: Eukaryota; Viridiplantae; Streptophyta; Magnoliopsida; Caryophyllales; Amaranthaceae
Exons: 2
Source: RefSeq, a predicted model, not a curated record
UUUGCCCUAAAACUCAAAAUUAUCUCAUAUUCUCAUCCCUCACGCCGCACUUCAAAUCCUCUCACCUUCUCUCUCUUCUAGUCUCCUGACUCUCCUGGCCUUCUGGAGUUCUGGGCUCUCUUCAGUCUCAUCUCUCGCCGGCGAGACACUCACCUCACACCGGCGCGCGUCCGACCCUCUUAUCUCUCACAACUUCACGGCAACGUCUCACGUCUGGUUUCCUAUCUCCGACCACCAGACAUCGCACACCACACAAUUGAUCGGAAUUGUACACAUUGGAGGAGCAGCCAUCAGUUUCAGCAGUUGAUGAUUAUUUAUAAUUAUCAUAUUUCACUUGUUUAGAUCUGUAAACGACUAAACGUUGUCGAAGACUUGUAAUUUCGAGUUGCUGACUUGCUGGCAACACUGCCUUGUAUGGAUGUAUGGCUAACUGCAUCUGCUAGUUUUUAUGCAUAGUUGCAUACCUUUGGUUUAAUUUUUUUGGCCUGCUAGGUUGCUGACUUGCUGGCAGCACUACCUGUAGGCUUAAAAUGUACUUGUGUUGUUAUAAUAUUUGUAUGAAAUAAUCCAUCCUUGUUUAUUA